GACGGGUGCGUACACGUGAGGAACCUGACUAUCGGUGGGGGAUAGCCGGCCCAACGGCCGGGUAAUACCGCGUACGACCUUCGGGGGGCAUCUCCUGAAGGUGAAAGCAGCAAUGCGCCGAUGGAGGGCCUCGCGGCCUAUCAGCUAGUUGGUGAGGUAAUGGCUCACCAAGGCGACGACGGGUAGCUGGUCUGAGAGGAUGGCCAGCCACAUUGGGACUGAGACACGGCCCAGACUCCUACGGGAGGCAGCAGUGGGGAAUCUUGCGCAAUGGGCGAAAGCCUGACGCAGCGACGCCGCGUGUGGGAUGACGGCCUUCGGGUUGUAAACCACUGUCGGGAGGGACGAAGCUCUGACGGUACCUCCAAAGGAAGCACCGGCUAACUCUGUGUCAGCAGCCGCGGUAAUACAGAGGGUGCGAGCGUUGUCCGGAAUCACUGGGCGUAAAGGGCGCGUAGGCGGCCUGAUAAGUAGGGGGUGAAAUCCUGCGGCUUAACUGCAGGGCUGCCUCCUAGACUGUCGGGCUCGAGCACGGUAGAGGCAGAUGGAAUUCCCGGUGUAGCGGUGGAAUGCGUAGAGAUCGGGAAGAACAUCGGUGGCGAAGGCGGUCUGCUGGGCCGU
Molecule: ribosomal RNA, 621 nt
Filed under: uncultured Gemmatimonas sp.
Lineage: Bacteria; Pseudomonadati; Gemmatimonadota; Gemmatimonadia; Gemmatimonadales; Gemmatimonadaceae
Description: bacterial SSU rRNA
Rfam family: Bacterial small subunit ribosomal RNA
Source: RNAcentral